AGCAAUGGGUUUUGUCGCAGGCCUGGACAGCUGUUCUGCCUGCAGGGAUCUGGCUCUGCUCAAAUGUGAAGAGGCGAUGCACAGAAAGGAAGAGUGUGCAUGUGUGUGCAGAUUUGGGUAGGUGACAUGGUGCCUGCAAGGAUUCUCCGGGAAUUCACUAUCAGCCUGAUCCUCAGAGGAAGCGAAUCUGAGCUACAUCAGCCCCAGACCUGCCAGCUGGGUUCUCGGGAAAGCAAGGAAGAACACAACGCCUUUUGGCGGUUCUUGGAGGAGCUGAGCUCUCAUCACUUCCUGUGGGCCUUUCUGCGCCUAGGAUCCUCUCUCCUGCAUCAGCCAAGCUUGAGGCAGAGUUAGUGCUAACCACUGGGGCACCCGCUGAGCACUUGCUAAGCAUCAUCUCUUUAUACCCUCACCACAAUCCUGCAAGACUUUGUGAGCGGAUGGCACCUGGAAUGGUUUCCUACACCCUGGGAUCCCCAGACUCUGCGGCACACUCAAGGAGAGAAUGACAGCUGUUGUCAGAAACAAGCAACAAAGCUAUUUCCAAAUCGUUACCUCUAGUGCUCAGGAUUCCCGGCAAGGAGAAUGGAUCUCUGGGAUCAGCCGGUGAAGCUCACACCUUCUUCAUUCAGCUCUUCAAAUAGCACAGUGUGUGUUCUUUUUCUGCAAUGUGUCCAAAGCCUAAAGCCAGCGGUGCUCACCAGUUGAGAACCACUGUCCUUGCAACGCGCAGAUGAUGGUACCCAGCUGCCUCAUUGACCACAAGCCCCAAAUUGCCCGGUUCAGCAUCCUAGGGUCUGUGCCAGCCUGAGAAUGGGCUGUGGCUUGGGAGAUGUUUUGCACUGGCAUCCAGGAGCCCAGUCGACCCCUGUGGAUCACGGCUCCCCAUUUCACAGUCUAAAUCGAAGUGCCCCCUCUGCCAUGUAUAGACUGCAGCUUCCCCAUGCCGGGUCAGAGAUGUUGACACUGACUUGGAGAAGCCAACGUGCAAAUCAAAUGAAGACAAAGGAGAACCGAGGAUGGGUGGAAGCAGAUGGGAGAAAGGUGUGGAGGUGAUAAUGGAAGGCUCACUGAACUCAUAGGGAGACGGGGCAUGGCGGCGGGUGAGGGACAGGGGCCUGGGGUCAGCAUGAUUCUCCUCCUCAUGAGUGUGUGAUGUGGGACCCGGACAUUGAGGUUUAGUUUUUCUAUUUGUAAAGAUGAAGACAUGACUCGUUCUUCCACCAGGAGUCUAUGUUUAGAGAGAUGCGAUGAGGUGCCAUGUUAAGACACACUGCCUUGCUCAGAAGUGCUCAAUAAAACGUAUCUGUCAUCA
This is a non-coding RNA of Myodes glareolus (Bank vole), 1315 nucleotides long. The record is from RefSeq and is a predicted model, not a curated record. Lineage: Eukaryota; Metazoa; Chordata; Mammalia; Rodentia; Cricetidae.